GGUCCGAACCCACGAGCGUUGAAAAGCUCGGGGAUGACUUGUGGGUAGCGGUGAAAUUCCAAUCGAGCCCGGAGAUAGCUGGUUCUCCCCGAAAUAGCUUUAGGGCUAGCCUCAAGGUGAGAGAUACGGAGGUAGAGCACUGAAUGUCCUAGGGGGUAUUGCACCUACCGAAGACUAUCAAACUCCGAAUGCCGUCAUCUUAUACUUGGGAGUCAGACUGUGGGUGAUAAGAUUCAUAGUCGAAAGGGCAACAGCCCAGAUCGUCAGCUAAGGUCCCUAAAUGUAAGUUAAGUGGUAAAGGAUGUGGGAUUGCACAGACAACCAGGAUGUUGGCUUAGAAGCAGCCACUCAUUCAAAGAGUGCGUAAUAGCUCACUGGUCGAGUGAUCCUGCGCCGAAGAUUUCCGGGGCUAAAACUUACUACCGAAGCUACGGCAUCAGUAAUGAUGGGUAGGGGAGCUUCCCAUACGGGUUGAAGCAUGACCGUAAGGACAUGUGGACAGUAUGGGAGUGAGAAUGUUGGCAUGAGUAGCGAGAUGUGGGUGAGAAUCCCACAGGCCGUAAACCCAAGGUUUCCAGGGGAAGGUUCGUCCGCCCUGGGUUAGUCGGGACCUAAGCUGAGGCCGAAAGGCGUAGGUGAUGGACAACAGGUUGAUAUUCCUGUACUACCGAUAACCGUUUGAGAGAAGGGAUGACACAGUAGGAUAAGCUAAGCACACUGUUGGUUAUGUGUGCCCAAGCAUUGAGGCAGUCAAAGUAGGCAAAUCCGCUUUGAUAAUGCUGGGAUGUGAUGGGGAGCGAAAUUUAGUAGCGAAGUAGCUGAUUUCACACUGUCAAGAAAAGUCUCUAUCGAGGUUAAAGGUACCCGUACCGCAAACCGACACAGGUGGGUGAGGAGAGUAUCCUAAGGCCAGCGAGAGAACUGUUGUUAAGGAACUCGGCAAAAUGACCCCGUAACUUAGGGAUAAGGGGUGCCACCAUUAGGUGGCCGCAGAGAAUAGGCCCAAGCGACUGUUUACCAAAAACAUAGGUUUCUGCUAAGUCGCAAGACGAUGUAUAGGAGCUGACGCCUGCCCGGUGCUGGAAGGUUAAGGGGAUCUGUUAGAGUAAUCGAAGCAGUGAACUUAAGCCCCAGUAAACGGCGGCCGUAACUAUAACGGUCCUAAGGUAGCGAAAUUCCUUGUCGGGUAAGUUCCGACCCGCACGAAAGGCGUAACGAUUUGGGCACUGUCUCAACAACAGACUCGGUGAAAUUGUAAUUCCGGUGAAGAUGCCGGAUACCUGCGACAGGACGGAAAGACCCCAUGGAGCUUUACUGUAGCUUGACAUUGGGUCUUGGUACUACAUGUACAGGAUAGGUGGGAGGCUUUGAAACCAGGACGCCAGUUUUGGCGGAGCCAUCCUUGGGAUACCACCCUUGUAGUACUGGGACUCUAACCAUAGGCCAUGAAUCUGGUCUUGGGACACUGUCAGGUGGGCAGUUUGACUGGGGCGGUCGCCUCCCAAAAGGUAACGGAGGCGCUCAAAGGUUCUCUCAGUACGGUCGGAAAUCGUACGUAGAGUGUAAAGGCAAAAGAGAGCUUGAUUGCAAGACAUACAGGUGGAGCAAGGAUGAAAAUCGGACUUAGUGAUCCGGUGGU
This 1639-nucleotide ribosomal RNA is filed under the name Clostridioides difficile. RNAcentral's name for it is "bacterial LSU rRNA". It matches the Rfam family "Bacterial large subunit ribosomal RNA", at positions 771 to 2427 of the family's 2925-position model. Lineage: Bacteria; Bacillati; Bacillota; Clostridia; Peptostreptococcales; Peptostreptococcaceae. The record is from RNAcentral.